UUUGUAUUCAUAAAAAAUGGCUCAAUUUAUGGCUCGCUCACUUCCAUUGUAACUUGUCUUUUUAAUUGCUCUCACAUCCUAUUCUUUUUGCACCGACUUAACUUUGUUAUUGCAUUGACAUAUAUAGUUGCUUGCGUCAUUUUCUAUUGAAUUCACAACACCGCUUUGCUCCUAUCAUAAUUGCCUCAUCGAGUGGAUAUACAACUCAGCCAAGUUCCAAAGAUGCAAGCUUAGGUUUUAAUUAUUUGUAAAAACGUGGUGUAGUGGCCUCCCUAAUUAACAUGGAGAUUCGCUUCAAAAUCAUCGAGAUGCUUUGUAGCAUCAAUGGAGAUGUUUGCCACUAUUGCAUUUGAAGCUUUCCUGAACCACUUAAGUAUUCAACUCCCAGUUGAUCCUGAUAAGAAGUUCAGGGAAAAAGAUACCAUCAUGAAUAUUUAGUAACUUGACUUCAAUAAAUCCUUUAUUUGCCAUUAAUUAAUCCAGUUAAUGCAUACAAUACAUCUUAGGUCCUCCUAUUUAGUACAGAACAUGAUGAAAAAAAAUCAGAUUUCGUAUACUGCAAGCUCAUGUAAGACCAGCUUAAUCACUUGUGAUAUAUAGAUCAAUUACCUGAGCCGCCGUCGACGACAAGGGGACGCUACUGACAUGGUCAGAACCCAUGAUUAUUAAUAAAUAAGCACCAAAGCUUGCUGAGUUAAGCCCGAGCCUGGGCCUCCAUACCGGCGGCCGCGCGCCGCGGACGACUCCGCUAGGCCAUUGCAUGUCCAACCCCUCGCAGUCUUCCUCACUCGGAAGCACUGAAUCGAACAGCAGCCCAAUCAAAUCAACACAUCUUGAGAUCGAGAGGGUAUUUUGAUACAGAGGCAAUAUGAAGAUCAAAAUCAGAGCAAAUGCAGAGGAACUGGAAGCACACAAUGUAACCAAAAAUACUGAAAGACAAGCAAGCUUUACCAAAAAUAGGGCUGCUCUUUUACCUGCCCACAAAAGGAUGCCAUUUUGUUCAAUAUAAUUGGUGAUGUCUGUCAGUAGGAUCUCAUGUUUGAUCUACAUUUUUUUAUUCACUGAAUUUGUAGAACACUUGCGAGUAAGUACCUAGCAAAAUAAACAUUUUCUACCUCAAAUUUGUAGAUCAAUAUCCAUG
This 1141-nucleotide long non-coding RNA is filed under the name Triticum aestivum (bread wheat). RNAcentral's name for it is "long non-coding RNA (TAES_LNC021436)". The record is from RNAcentral. Lineage: Eukaryota; Viridiplantae; Streptophyta; Magnoliopsida; Poales; Poaceae.